Molecule: non-coding RNA, 21 nt
Filed under: Arabidopsis thaliana (thale cress)
Lineage: Eukaryota; Viridiplantae; Streptophyta; Magnoliopsida; Brassicales; Brassicaceae
Source: RNAcentral
CCGGCACGCGGCGACCCGCUC